This 465-nucleotide ribosomal RNA is filed under the name uncultured bacterium. Its description in RNAcentral is "partial 16S ribosomal RNA". It matches the Rfam family "Bacterial small subunit ribosomal RNA", at positions 338 to 795 of the family's 1533-position model. The record is from RNAcentral.
CCUACGGGUGGCAGCAGUGGGGAAUUUUGGACAAUGGGCGCAAGCCUGAUCCAGCUAUUCCGCGUGUGGGAUGAAGGCCCUCGGGUUGUAAACCACUUUUGUCGAGAACGAAAAGACACCUUUUCAUACAGCGUGUUGCUGACGGUACUCUAAGAAUAAGCACCGGCUCACUACGUGCCAGCAGCCGCGGUAAUACGUAGGGUGCGUGCUGUAAUCGGAAUUACUGGGCGUAAAGGGGGCGCAGGCGGUUGAGGAAGACAGAUGUGAAAUGCCCGAGCUUAACUCGGGAAUGGCAUAUGUGACUGCUGGACUAGAGUGGGUCAGAGGGAGGUGGAAUGCCAGGUGUAGCAGUGAAAUGUGUAGAUAUGGGGAAGAACACCGAUGGCGAAGGCAGCCUCCUGGGACAUAACUGACGCUCAGGCACGAAAGCGUGGGGAGCAAACAGGAUUAGAUACCCGGGUAGUC